Non-coding RNA from Myotis davidii, 167 nucleotides. Lineage: Eukaryota; Metazoa; Chordata; Mammalia; Chiroptera; Vespertilionidae. The record is from Rfam.
AGGAAUUUGCCCCACAAACAGAUUCCCCUGAGACCAACCAGAGGAAAUGAAGUCGACGCUGAGCCCGUGGAGGUCGGGCCUGUGGCAGCUUCUGCCGGCACGGUGCCGUUGCUUUGUGUUCACUUCGGGUCUUGCCAGAAAUGUGCCUUUUUCUCUAACUGAUCUGC